RNAcentral lists this ribosomal RNA (252 nucleotides) under uncultured bacterium. RNAcentral's name for it is "partial 16S ribosomal RNA". It matches the Rfam family "Bacterial small subunit ribosomal RNA", at positions 524 to 776 of the family's 1533-position model. The record is from RNAcentral.
UACGUAGGUGGCAAGCGUUGUCCGGAAUUAUUGGGCGUAAAGCGCGCGCAGGCGGUUUGCUAAGUCCAUCUUAAAAGUGCGGGGCUUAACCCCGUGAUGGGAUGGAAACUGGUAGACUGGAGUAUCGGAGAGGAAAGCGGAAUUCCUAGUGUAGCGGUGAAAUGCGUAGAGAUUAGGAAGAACACCGGUGGCGAAGGCGGCUUUCUGGACGACAACUGACGCUGAGGCGCGAAAGCGUGGGGAGCAAACAGG